This 245-nucleotide unclassified non-coding RNA is filed under the name plant metagenome. RNAcentral's name for it is "partial contains small subunit ribosomal RNA, internal transcribed spacer 1, and 5.8S ribosomal RNA". The record is from RNAcentral.
UCUCCGUUGGUGAACCAGCGGAGGGAUCGUUACCGAGUUUACAACUCCCAAACCCAAUGUGAACGUUACCAAACUGUUGCCUCGGCGGGGUCACGCCCCGGGUGCGUCGCAGCCCCGGAACCAGGCGCCCGCCGGAGGAACCAACCAAACUCUUUCUGUAGUCCCCUCGCGGACGUUAUUUCUUACAGCUCUGAGCAAAAAUUCAAAAUGAAUCAAAACUUUCAACAACGGAUCUCUUGGUUCUG